Apodemus sylvaticus (European woodmouse) is the source of this 7983-nucleotide long non-coding RNA. RefSeq lists it as uncharacterized. NCBI's taxonomy places the organism in Eukaryota, Metazoa, Chordata, Mammalia, Rodentia, Muridae. The transcript has 7 exons. The record is from RefSeq and is a predicted model, not a curated record.
UUCAAAGCGAAUCUGCUUUCAGGGCCUAGUGGGAGGUUCCUGGGUCCCGCACCAAUUGCACAGCGCAUGCGCAGCGCACCCUCAGCAGAACAGGGUCAGUGCUGUAAAGCUCGGGUUUGGGGCAUCAGGGCGACCUGGAGGAUGACAGAGGGCCCUGCUAGUUGCCUGUGACUGCCCAGCACAGCGGCAGCUAAGCCCCAUCCGGUUGUUCGGUUUUCUGGAGCUGAUACUCGGGCGGCGGCGGCGGCAGCAGUGGCUGGUCCAGCUGAAGGGCCAUCAGCGGUGGAACCAAGGCGACACAGGGUCCAGUUAAGCCCCGCGCCCACGACCACUGACCUUCCCUGACCAGCCGGGCGGCAAGCAGCUGCGGUUCUGCGGAGCCUUUCGCUGCACGGAAGCCACUUCAGAACUCGGCUUCCGGCCAGUCAGGAGAGACUCACCUCCAUCUUGAUUUCAGACUCCAGAGAUCGGACAGACUGAGCUGAAUUGAGGCGAAGAAUUCCCAUCUUGGGGCCCAAAGGGAAAUAGGAAAGUUGACUCGUCAGAGGAGACAUUAUUUGCCUUCCAGUCGCUAUGUUCAUUGGUCAGCUGACAUCUUGACCAUGACAUUCUGAAAGGCUGAAUAGUUCCAGGGACCCUGUUGACUGGCCUGCAGGUCCGGCACUCUGGCACCCAACAUAGUGCCCCCAUGGAUCCAUCAACGGGGAAGGAGGCCGUAGGGAAAAAAAAGGAAGAGCUCUUCAUGUGCAGCUCCUGGAGCGGAUUAAUUCAAGGCAUGUUUGACCCGCCAGUGCUAGGCCAGAGGAAAAUCUCCAUGGCAACAAUGUCUCAGAAGGUAUUGGAGCCAGACAAAGGCGGCCGCCAAGGCAAAGGCUUCAAAGCAACAGGUUCUUGAAGAUAUCAGGAAAAUCAAAGCUUUAGAAUUGGAAGAAUCCAAGAAGUAUGCCACAGCAAGUGAUCUGGCAUGGUAAACAACGAAUUCUCACCUGAAGAACUUGGGAAGGUGGAGAAGCAUCUUAAAAAAUGCUCAACUUCAUUAGUCAUUAGGGAAAUGCAAAUCAAAACAACGCUGAGAUUUCAUCUUACACCAGUCAGAAUGGCUAAGUUUAAAAAUUCAAGAGACAGCAGGUGUUGUAGAGGGUGUGGAGAAAGAGGAACACUCCUCCACUGCUGGUGGAGUUGCAAAUUGGUACAACCACUCUGGAAAUCAGUUAGUACUUUUAACCGCUGAGCCAUCUCUCCAGCCCAGAUUAAGAAUUUUCAAGAGCCUAUAGCCCAGUGGUUCUAAACUUACAUAUCAUAAGACCACUGAAAAACACCAAUAUUUACUAUAUAAAUUGAAAGAGGAAUUGCAAACCUUUUCUGAUAGAAUUGAAGGUUUACAUGAAAAAUAUUUCUGUUAGAAUUGGUGGAGUCCAUUGAUGUUAAGAGAUACUAAGGAUUAGUGAUUGUUGCUUCCUGUUAUUUUUGAUGUUAUUUUUAUGUUUGUGUGCAUACCUUCAUUUCGGUUUGUUGGAAGAAGAUUACUUUCUUGCUUUUUCUAGGGUGUAGUUUCCCUCUGUGUGUUGGCAUUUGUGUUUCCAUCUAUUAUCCAUUGUAGGGCUGGAUUUGUGGACAGAUACUGUGUAAAUUUGGUUUUGUCAUGGAAUAUCUUGUUUUCUUCAUCUAUCGUGAUUGAGAGUUUUUCUGGGUAUAGAAGUCUGGGCUGGCAUUUGUGUUCUCUUAGGAUCUGUAUGAGGUCUGCCCAGGAUCUUCUAGCUUUCAUCAUCUCUGGUGAGAAGUCUUGUAUAAUUCUGAUGUGUCUGCCUUUUUAACUUACUUGACCCUUUUUCCCUUACUACUUUUAAUAUUCUUUCUUUUUUGAAUGCAUUGGUCUUUUGAUUAUUAUGUGCUUUGAAGACUUUCUGGUUUGGUCCAGUCCUUUGGAUUUCAGAAAGCUUCUUGUAUGUUCAUGGGCAUCUCUUUCAUUAGGCUAGGAAAAUUUUCUAUAUAAUUUUGUUAAAGAUAUUUAGUGGCCCUUUAAGUUGGAAAUCUUUAUUCUCUUCGAAACCUAUAAUCCGUAGGUUUGGUCUUCUCAUUGUGUCCUGGAUUUCCUGGAUGUUUUGGCUUGCAGGCUUUAUGCAUUUUGCAUUUUCUUUGACUGUUGAGUCAAUGUUUUUUAUCGUAUCUUUAGCACUUGAGAUUCUUUCUUCUAUCUCUUGUAUUAUGUUGUUUAUGCUUACAGCUAUGAUUCCUGAAUUCUUUCCAAGCUAUUCUAUCUUCAGAGAUGUCUCACUCUGUGAUUUCUUUAUUGUUUCUACCUCAACUUUUAGAGCCUGGAUGAUUUUCUUCAAUUCCUUCACUUGAUUGUUUGUGUUUUCCUGUAAUUCUUUAAGGGAUUUUUGUGUUUUCUCUUUAAGGGCUUCUGUCUGUUGACCCAGGAUCUCCUGUGCUUCUUUAAAGUAUUUUUGUGUUUCCUCAUUAAGGGCUUUUGCUUGUGGACAGUUGUUCUCCUGCAUUUCUUUAAGGGAGUUAUUUAAGUCCUUCUUGAAGCCCUCUAUCAACAUCAUGAGAUAGGAUUUUAAAUCCAACUCUUGCUUUUCCAGUGUGGGACUUGCUGUGGUGGGAGAACUGGGUUCUGAUAUUGCCAGGUAGCCUUGGUUUGUGUUGGUAGGGUUCUUGUGCUUGCUUUUCUCCAUCUGGUUAUCUCUGGUGCUAGUUGGUCUUGUUGUCUCUGGAUGGAGCUUGUCCCUUCUGUGGGCCUGUAAGCCUGUGUCCAUACUCCUUGAAGACCAACUCUCUUCUGACAGGGUCUGUGCACAGAAGGUGGUAGAGCUGCCUGGCUCCCUGGUGCCAAUGGUGCCCAGAAGACUUCCAUUCCCAGCUGCUCCACUGAUCGCCUGCCCUGUGAGCUCCUAGCUGGUUCCCUCCAGAGAGGAGCUGGAGAUCUCACCCCAGAAGCUCAGAAGUGAAAACACUGCUGGGAGAUCACUCUCUCUUGGCAGGCUGUGCAUAGAAGGCUGUGGAGUUGCCUGGCUCCCUGGUGCAAAAUCUAGAUUUAAUUUUUUAAAGAAGCCUUUUGGUUGGUCUCAGCAACCGUUGGAGUCUUUUCCUAUUCGACUUCUCUUCUGACGUCCAUGGGUCUGUGGUGCACAGACAUUCAUGUGAGAGCAACACAAACACAGAAAUAAAUCUAAAGGGUUUUAAGUGAGUUCUCCCAAUGACUCCAAUCCUGGUUGAAAGAAGAACCCAUUUGCCUUCAUAAUGCUUAACAAUUUUCUCAAGGUACACACCAACAUAUACCCCUUUUACCACAACUCCUGGAAGACCUUAUGAAUGCCUUCAUCUUACGGAGAAAAAAAAAUAACAUUUUUCCAAUUAUUUUUCACAGAUGGUAAUUCUUAAGUCUGCACUUCAGAUCAGCUCUUCCUUUAAGUGCAAAUCCAUUCAUUUUGUUGUAAUGUUACAUUUUGUUUUAGAAAUUUCCACUUUGGUGUAUGAAUGCAAAAUCCAGAUGUUGCCAAAGACAGGAACCUGUGGACACCCUGUUUCCCCUCCCCCUUAACUCUCACCUCCUCUCAUCAUAUGCACCUGUGAUUCAGUUACGAUUAUAGGCCACAUUUCACUUUCCUCCUUAGGUUUGAGUAUAAUAUUCUUAGUACCAGUUUUCAAGCUUCUUUCUUUCAUUUUUUAAAUAAAAAAUGUUAUAAGAACACAUUCAAUUAAAAAAGAUAAAACAAUAUAUUCUUCAUUUACAUUGCAAAUGCUAGAACCUUUCUCGGUUUCUCCUGUCCCAGAAAACCCCCAACCCCUUCUCCCACCCCCUGCCUCCAAGUAUAUGCCCCUCCACCCUCUACUCCUAGCUUACCACACCCCUCGAUUUCUCUAUAUUGGGGCAUCUAUUGAGCCUUCACAGGACCAGGACCUCUCUUCCCACUGAUGCCGGACAAGGCAUUCCUCUGCUACACUUUUGGCUCUAACCAUGUGUACCACUUGAUUGUUUAGUGUCUGGGUGGCCAACAUCAUUGUUCUUCCCAUAGGGCUACAAACCCCUUCAUCUCCUCCAGUCUGCCCUCCAAGUCCUCCAUUGAGGACCCCAUGCCCAGACCAAUGGUUGGCUGCUAGCAUCUGCCUCUGUAUCUGUAAGGCUCUGGCAGACCCCCUCUGGAGACAACCAUAGCAGCCUCCAUUCCGCAUACACUUCUUGUCGACCAUAAUAGUGCAGGGGUUUGGUUCCUGUUUAUAGGAUGAAUGCCCAGGUAGGGCAUUCUCUGAGUGGCCUUUCCUUCAGUUUCUGUUGCACACUUUGUCUCUGUUAUUGCUCCUGUGCGUAUUUGGUUCUCCUUCUCAGAGGAACCAAAACACCCCUACUUCAGUUCUUUUUUUUUUCUUUUUUUUAAUUGAAUAUAUUCUUCAUUUACAUUUCAACUGUUAUAGUCCUUGCAGGUUUCCCCUUCCCGAUUUCUCCCCUCCUGGAAACUCCCAACCCCUGCUCUUACCCCCUGCCUCCCAGAAUAUGCUCCUCCACCCAACCCACUCCCACAACCCCCAAUUGAUUUCCCCACACUGGGGUCUCUAUUGAGCCUUCACAGGACCAAGGACCUCUCUCCUCCCACUGACACCCAACAAGGCAUUCCUCUGCCACUAUUUUAGCAGGAACCAUGUGUACCCCUUAGUUGAUGGAGCCCUAGGAGCCCUGAGGCAUCUGGAUGGCUGACAUCAUCGUUCUUCCCAUGGGGCUGCUAACCCCUUCAGCUCCUCCAGUCUACCCUUCAACUCCUCCAUUGUGAACCCCAUGCUCAGUCCAAUGGUUGGCUGCUAGUAUUAGCCUCUGUAUCUGUAAGGCUGUGGCAGGGCCCCUCCAAAGGCAACCAUAACAGGCUCCUUUCAGUAUGCACUUGUCAUCCAUAGUACUUUUGGAGUUUGGUGUUUACCAGGUAGAACACUCUGUGGGUGGCCUUUCCUUCUGUCCCUGCUCUACACUUUGUCUCCAUUAUUGCUCCUGUGAGUAUUAGGUUCCUUUUCUCAGACGAACCAAAGCACCCCCACUUCAGUUCUCCUUCUUGAGCUUCCUGUGGUCUGUGAAUUGUAACUUGUUUAUUUUGAGAUUUUUGGACUAACAUCAACUUAUCAGUGAGUGCAUACUAUGUGUACAUACUUUUGUGAUUGGGUUACCUCACUCAGGAUGACACUUUAUAUUUACAUCCAUUUGCCUAAGAAUUUCAUGAUUUCCUUGUUUUUAAUAGCUGAAUAGUACUCCAUUCUGUAGACAUUUUCUGUAUCCAUUACUCUGUUGAAGGACAUCUGGGUUCUUUCCGGCUUCUGGCUAUUAUAAAUAGGCUGCUAUGAACAGAGUGAAGCAUGUGUUCUUAUUAUAUGUUGGAACAUGUUCUGGGUAUAUGCCAGGGGUAGUAUAUCUGGGUCCUCAGGUAGUACUAUGUCUAACUUUUGAUGAACUACCAAAUUGAUUUCCAGAGUGCUUUUACCAGUUUGCAAUUCCACCAGCAAUGGAGGAGUGUUCCUCUUUCUCCACAUCAUCUCCAGCAUCUUCUGUCCCCUGACAGCUAACAUCAGAGAUAACUAAAUUGCAAAAGUCAAAUGGAACAUCAUUACCAACAGAAACCAAGGCAAUAUGGCACCAUCAGAACCCAGUUCUCCCACAACAGCAAAUCCUGAAUACUGCAACACAUCAGAAAAGCAAGAGCUGGGUUUAAAAUCUAUCCUGGCCCAUGGGACAGUCAGCAGAGUCCUGGAUCCACCUAGGGGAAUGGCAAGAGAGAAGACAGACACAAAAGAACUGGAGAGCAAGCCUGAAUCCGAUCAAGCUGUCAAUCUUUAAUUUACACACAAGGCAUUAUAAAGGCAAGCAAGCAGGUGUGGGGAGGGGUGAAGGGGGAAAGUCAUUGUAUUUGAGGAACAACCUCAGGAGGCUAGCAUCGUAUCUCAGGAACAGUUUCUCAGAAUUGUCUCUCAGGGUCUCAGCUAAGAUUUGGCAGGUGCUGUAGGAACUUGGCAUCAUAUUUUGAUCAUGAGGAGGUGAGGUGGAAAGGAGUUGCUAUGGUAACAACCACAGGUGAACUUCCUUUGUUCGAGCCCACUUGGGUGAGCUCUGUACCUACUGACCAUCUAGCUUACUUGGCUAAUCUUUAAACUGGUACAUUUCCUGCUAAAAGCAGCCUAGAGAAAGCAAGCUGGAAAUGGCUGAGAGGAGGGGGUUUUUGAGAUCUCUGUGAGAAUAGCUCCUGGCAAAAACCACAUCUCAUGAUGCUGAUAGAGGACUUCAAGGCCAUAAAUAAGUCCCUUAAAAAAUAUAGGAGAAUAUGGGUCAACAGGUAGAAGCCCCUAAGAAGAAACACAAAAAUACCUUCACACUUCUUUCAAUCCAUGUCUUCAAAGGUGAACUUUCCCCUCCAGGACAAUUACAAUUGCAACGUGUUAGCAUGCCAAAAAAGACCUAGCUCUUGCUAACUCCUCUCAAAGACACCCUGCAAUACCCUCUACCUGCUAUCAUCCUCCAUGCCAAGGAUACACAACUAGUUAUUUUAAACUUCUUUCAUCAGUUCAAAUACUGUUCUCUUGGGACAGGAAGCCGGGACUCCUUACUAGCUAUUAUUCAAAGACCUUCCAGCUUCUGUCUAUGAGUGGACUAUUCUGGUAACACUGAAAAGUAUUACCAAAAUUGGUAUUAAAUUCCACUAUAACUGUGUUUACUAGCAGAGCACAGAUUAAAAGCGUAAAGCAUGCCUGUGAACUCUGCACUGGGAAGGCUUUGGGCAGAGACUGCAUAAGUUAAAGUCCAGCCUGGGCUAUAUAGUCAGCUCCUGGUCAGCCUGGGCUACAUAGUAAAACCCUGUCUCAAACAGAAACAAGUGUGUGAUGGCACAGGCCUGUGAUCCCAGCACUCAGGAGACAGAGGACUACAAGUUACAGGCCAACCUAAGUGUCACAGGGAAUUCCCAGAUAGUGAAACCCUACUUUAAAAAAUAGUUUUAUUCCUAUUACCCUGAAUUCUUUUGCCAUGUUUUUCCACCUCAUCUGUUGAAACCAACAGCUGUUUUCAUGCCUGGGAGCCCAACACAGCCAGUACAGAGAAGACAUUUCCUAAGUGUUAUCUAAGUGAAUGAACUCACCAGGGAGGUCCAAGUUAAUAAAAUCUUUUCUCUUGUAUCAGCCAUGGAGAAACUUAGCACAUUCAUUACACAAAAUAAUGAAUCAGUGAUGCAACCAAGUAGCUUGGAAAUAUAAAUACUGCUCAUAGGAAUUUUAUUUCCCUCCCAGAGUCCAUCAAAUUAAUUAUGAGCACAUAUUUGAUGUGGGGGCAGAGGGCAUGCAGGGAUACCACUAACUGAAACACUCAUUUUUAUUAGACUGUAGUUUUAUUGCAAGGUAGGUUUUCUUUCCCCCACACUAGGCUGAUAUCUGCACUGUCCAAUCUAGUAGCCGCUACCUAUAGAUGGCUAUUGAAGUUUCAGUCCUUUAAAAUGAAAUAGAAUUUGUCAUUCUAUUCUUCUGUAGCCACAUCUCAAGUGCCCCAAAGCCAUACCUGUCUGGUGGCUGUGACGCUGCACAGUACAGACACAGAACACCGUUAGCAGCACUGUCUACACAAUUACAAAGAUGUCCUCAGAAAGCCUGACUUACUUCUUAGCUCCCAGGAUCCUGGUGCUCCUCUGCUGCUUACUGGAUGUGGGUCCCGGGUCUAGCAAAUUGCAAGCACAUGAGUGAGUGCCAGGGACCUUUGUACCUCAUCCCCAAAGAGAUGAAUCCCCCUGUGCCUAGAUGUGAAGCUGUCUACAUUGUAGAGACGGGUUGACAAUAUCAACGCCCAUUCUCAAAACCUUAUUCCUAGGUGGAGGAUCGAAAAGAAAGAUGGAAAAAUAUGCAUAUAUGUAAUAUAUUUUACAGCAACGGGAGGCACUAGGGAUGCUGAAGGAUUAUGAAUAAUUACAAUAUGUUGAGGAACUGAGACCGAGGAUACUAGGAAUAGGCAAUAAAAAUAAAAUG